AGUGAACGCUGGCGGUAGGCCUAACACAUGCAAGUCGAACGGCAGCACAGGAGAGCUUGCUCUCUGGGUGGCGAGUGGCGGACGGGUGAGGAAUACAUCGGAAUCUACUCUGUCGUGGGGGAUAACGUAGGGAAACUUACGCUAAUACCCCAUAAGACCUACGGGUGAAAGCAGGGGAUCUUCGGACCUUGCGCGAUUGAAUGAGCUGAGGUAGGAUUAGCUAGUUGGCGGGGUAAAGGCCCACCAAGGCGACGAUCCGUAGCUGGUCUGAGAGGAUGAUCAGUCACACUGGAACUGAGACACGGUCCAGACUCCUACGGGAGGCAGCAGUGGGGAAUAUUGGACAAUGGGCGCAAGCCUGAUCCAGCCAUACCGCGUGGGUGAAGAAGGCCUUCGGGUUGUAAAGCCCUUUUGUUGGGAAAGAAAUCCAGCUGGCUAAUACCCGGUUGGGAUGACGGUACCCAAAGAAUAAGCACCGGCUAACUUCGUGCCAGCCGCCGCAGUAA
RNAcentral lists this ribosomal RNA (506 nucleotides) under uncultured bacterium. Its description in RNAcentral is "partial 16S ribosomal RNA". It matches the Rfam family "Bacterial small subunit ribosomal RNA", at positions 29 to 523 of the family's 1533-position model. The record is from RNAcentral.